RNAcentral lists this ribosomal RNA (253 nucleotides) under uncultured bacterium. Its description in RNAcentral is "partial 16S ribosomal RNA". It matches the Rfam family "Bacterial small subunit ribosomal RNA", at positions 524 to 776 of the family's 1533-position model. The record is from RNAcentral.
UACGUAGGGCGCAAGCGUUGUCCGGAAUUAUUGGGCGUAAAGAGCUCGUAGGCGGCUUGUCACGUCGGGUGUGAAAGCCCGGGGCUUAACCCCGGGUCUGCAUUCGAUACGGGCUGGCUAGAGUGUGGUAGGGGAGAUCGGAAUUCCUGGUGUAGCGGUGAAAUGCGCAGAUAUCAGGAGGAACACCGGUGGCGAAGGCGGGUCUCUGGGCCGUAACUGACGCUGAGGAGCGAAAGCGUGGGGAGCGAACAGG